CUGGAAUGGGCAAUGACUUAAAUCUAUAUGGCCCCUGGAUUGGACUGCGGCCGAUCAGGCUGUUGGUGAGGUAAUGGCCCACCAAACCUGUAACCGGUACGGGCUCUGAGAGGAGGAGCCCGGAGAUGGGCACUGAGACAAGGGCCCAGGCCCUAUGGGGCGCAGCAGGCGCGAAACCUCUGCAAUAGGCGAAAGCCUGACAGGGUUACUCUGAGUGAUUUCCGUUAAGGAGAUCUUUUGGCACCUCUAAAAAUGGUACAGAAUAAGGGGUGGGCAAGUCUGGUGUCAGCCGCCGCGGUAAUACCAGCACCCCGAGUGGUCGGGACGUUUAUUGGGCCUAAAGCAUCCGUAGCCGGUUCUGCAAGUCUUCCGUUAAAUCCACCUGCUUAACAGAUGGGCUGCGGAAGAUACUAUAGAGCUAGGAGGCGGGAGAGGCAAGCGGUACUCGAUGGGUAGGGGUAAAAUCCGUUGAUCCAUUGAAGACCACCAGUGGCGAAGGCGGCUUGCCAGAACGCGCUCGACGGUGAGGGAUGAAAGCUGGGGGAGCAAACCGGAUUAGAUACCCGGGUAGUCCCAGCUGUAAACGAUGCAGACUCGGUGAUGAAUUGGCUUUAUGCCAAUUCAGUGCCGCAGGGAAGCCGUUAAGUUCGCCGCCUGGGGAGUACGGUCGCAAGACUGAAACUUAAAGGAAUUGGCGGGGGAGCACCACAAGGGGUGAAGCCUGCGGUUCAAUUGGACUCAACGCCGGU
RNAcentral lists this ribosomal RNA (749 nucleotides) under uncultured archaeon. RNAcentral describes it as "bacterial SSU rRNA". It matches the Rfam family "Archaeal small subunit ribosomal RNA", at positions 170 to 922 of the family's 1478-position model. The record is from RNAcentral.